This 433-nucleotide ribosomal RNA is filed under the name uncultured bacterium. RNAcentral's name for it is "partial 16S ribosomal RNA". It matches the Rfam family "Bacterial small subunit ribosomal RNA", at positions 29 to 507 of the family's 1533-position model. The record is from RNAcentral.
AAUGGACGCUGGCGGCAUGCCUAACACAUGCAAGUCGAACGAAGGCUUCGGCCUUAGUGGCGCACGGGUGCGUAACGCGUGGGAAUCUGCCCCUUGGUUCGGAAUAACAGUUAGAAAUGACUGCUAAUACCGGAUGAUGACGUAAGUCCAAAGAUUUAUCGCCGAGGGAUGAGCCCGCGUAGGAUUAGCUAGUUGGUGUGGUAAGAGCGCACCAAGGCGACGAUCCUUAGCUGGUCUGAGAGGAUGAUCAGCCACACUGGGACUGAGACACGGCUCAGACUCCUACGCGAGGCAGCAGUGGGGAAUCUUGGACAAUGGGCGAAAGCCUGAUCCAGCAAUGCCGCGUGAGUGAUGAAGGCCUUAGGGUUGUAAAGCUCUUUUACCCGGGAUGAUAAUGACAGUACCGGGAGAAUAAGCUCCGGCUAACUCCGUG